UGCAAUAAGUAAACAAAUCUCUCUCCCCCUUCAUGACCUUGGUGCGGUUUCUACGCACUAAGUCUGUAUUCCUGAGACUCUGUUGUUUUUUUUCUGACCAUGACAGAAGCCACAGUUUGCGCGUCAGAAUGAGUGACCUAACAACGGAAGAAAAGGUGUUUCUUAUUGAAUGCUACUUUUCUAGAGGAAAAGUAUACCGUGAAGCUUUUAGAGGCUUUCGAAGUAAAUUUGGAACACAUAGAGUUGCUAAUGAAAACCUGUGUACUGGUAUUUGUUUAUAAUAUCCAUGUGCAUGUGGACUUCAUGUCGAUUUUUGGCAAUUAUACGGUAUAAAAAUAAUUGAAACUAAACAUUUUGCAGAGUGAUCGAUAACUUUGUGCAACACGGCACGCUCCAGGACUGAAGACAUGAUAAUCCGGGCCUUUCCUAUUCAGUGAUAACGGAAGACACAUUAGAGGAUGUUGAGCAAUAUUUUGCCGAAAAUCCCAAUGCAUCCGUUCGAAAAGCUGCCCAAACGUUGAAUAUAUCGAAGACAACGUUACACAGGAUCCUUAAACAUUUUUUGAAGAUGCAUCUGUUCAAAAUAACGACACAUCAGUUAUUAACACAAGAUGCUAUGGUCAAACGGGUGGAAUUCUGUUAAAAUAUGACACAGAUGUUCGAGAACGAAGAAUUGAACGAGAAUGCAAUUAUUUUCUUAGACGAGGCACAUUUCUGGUUAAACGGAUACGUGAACAAACAGAAUUAUCGUUUCUGGGGAAAAGAAAAUCCUAACGUCACGUCUGCGAAGCCUCUCCAUCCAGAGAAAAUUACAGUAUGGGUAGCAAUCUCAGUAAAGGGAAGUUUCCUGCAAGUCUUGGAUUCUACUGUCACGGCAGAAAGUUACAAGGAAUUGUUGGAGACAACAUUCUUUUCUCACGCAAAGAAAAGGAGCCUAGUGAAAAAUUUCCAUUUCAUGCAGGACGGAGCAGCACCACACCGCACAACGGAAGUACUCAAGGUACAGCAAGCUCCACUGCUAUGCCGAAAACCCCAAAUCAAAGGUAGAACUAAUCACGGCAAUAAAAAAAGUGGGCAGUGGUAUUAAAACAGAUAUGUUAAAGCGUGUUUUCUACAAUUUCCGCAAAAGAAUUGACUAUUUUGCAAAUUCUAAAUGGUGCUCACUUUGAAAAUGUGCUCACUUUGGAAAUUUGCGCCAAAGACGUCGUGGAGCGACAGACCCACAGUUGAAACUGCCGCUAAUAAUGCUUCAAUACUUUUCAACAAUUGUCAUAUUGGCCUCAUUAAUUUAUUGGAGAUAUUGGAAAUAAAAAUUGGUGAAGCACUCUACCAAUAUUGUCUAAACAUUGAUGAGAAACGGAUAUGCGACGCCGAGCACGAAGCUGAAGAAAACACGCAUGAGGGUCGUCUGCGUGCAAAGCACGGAAAAAAUGAUGAGUCUCUGGACGUUGAGGAGCUGUUCUAUGGUCCAGGAAUAGCAGACUGAUGAUGAACCGUAUGGCUCAAUUGCUGUCAACCACUAAGCAGCAACUUUAUCGGAGUGUCUUUUUGGAAACGGCGUACACCGCAAACUAUUCUGAAGAUUCGAAUAAACAAAUCUGUGUAAUCUUCUAUAUAUAUAUAUUAAAUAUUAGUAUCAAUAAAAAAUAACCAUUCAUCGUU
Long non-coding RNA from Cephus cinctus (wheat stem sawfly), 1662 nucleotides. RefSeq lists it as uncharacterized. The record is from RefSeq and is a predicted model, not a curated record. The transcript has 2 exons. NCBI's taxonomy places the organism in Eukaryota, Metazoa, Arthropoda, Insecta, Hymenoptera, Cephidae.